RNAcentral lists this ribosomal RNA (483 nucleotides) under uncultured bacterium. RNAcentral's name for it is "bacterial SSU rRNA". It matches the Rfam family "Bacterial small subunit ribosomal RNA", at positions 29 to 507 of the family's 1533-position model. The record is from RNAcentral.
AUGAACGCUAGCGGCAGGCUUAACACAUGCAAGUCGAGGGGCAGCACUUGUAGCAAUACAUGGUGGCGACCGGCGCAAGGGUGCGUAACGCGUGAGCAACAUGCCCGUAUCAGGGGGAUAAUCCAGGGAAACUUGGUCUAAUACCCCAUAGCAAUUAUUUGAGGCAUCUUAAAUAAUUUAAAGCUUUGGUGGAUACGGAUUGGCUCGCGUGACAUUAGCUAGAUGGUAAGGUAACGGCUUACCAUGGCUACGAUGUCUAGGGGUUCUGAGAGGAAGAUCCCCCACACUGGAACUGAGACACGGUCCAGACUCCUACGGGAGGCAGCAGUGAGGAAUAUUGGACAAUGGAUGGAAAUCUGAUCCAGCCAUGCCGCGUGCAGGAAGACGGCCCUAUGGGUUGUAAACUGCUUUUGUGUGGGAGCAAUAAGGUCUAUGCGUAGACUGAUGAGAGUACCAUACGAAUAAGCAUCGGCUAACUCCGUG